Molecule: ribosomal RNA, 497 nt
Filed under: uncultured bacterium
Lineage: Bacteria
Description: partial 16S ribosomal RNA
Rfam family: Bacterial small subunit ribosomal RNA
Source: RNAcentral
GAUGAACGCUGGCGGCGUGCCUAAUACAUGCAAGUCGAGCGAACAGACGAGGAGCUUGCUCCUCUGACGUUAACGGCGGACGGGUGAGUAACACGUGGAUAACCUACCUAUAAGACUGGGAUAACUUCGUGAAACCGGAGCUAAUACCGGGUAAUAUAUUGAACCGCAUGGUUCAAUAGUGAAAGACGGUUUUGCUGUCACUUAUAGAUGGAUCCGCGCCGCAUUAGCUAGUUGGUAAGGUAACGGCUUACCAAGGCAAUGAUGCGUAGCCGACCUGAGAGGGUGAUCGGCCACACUGGAUCUGAGACACGGUCCAGACUCCUACGGGAGGCAGCAGUAGGGAAUCUUCCGCAAGGGGCGAAAGCCUGACGGAGCAACGCCGCGUGAGUGAUGAAGGUCUUAGGAUCGUAAAACUCUGUUAUUAGGAAAGAACAAAUGUGUAAGUAACUAUGCACGUCUUGACGGUACCUAAUCAGAAAGCCACGGCUAACUACGUG